This 281-nucleotide ribosomal RNA is filed under the name Spodoptera frugiperda (fall armyworm). RNAcentral describes it as "partial small subunit ribosomal RNA". The record is from RNAcentral. Lineage: Eukaryota; Metazoa; Arthropoda; Insecta; Lepidoptera; Noctuidae.
AGUUAAAAAACUUGAGUAUUAAUAGUUAUAUUCUUUAAACUUAAAAAAUUUGGCGGUAUUUUAGUCUGUUCAGAGGAACCUGUUUUGUAAUCGAUAAUCCACGAUGUACCUUACUUAAAUUUAUAAAUUAGUUUGUAUACCGUCGUUAUAGAAAAUUUUAUAAGAAUAAUAAUUUUCAAUAAAUUUAAUAAAAUUAUAUAUCAGAUCAAGGUGCAGCAUAUAGUUAAGUUUAUAAUGGGUUACAAUAAAAUUAUUUAUAUGGAUAUAAAUAUGAAAAAUUU